Molecule: long non-coding RNA, 87 nt
Organism: Neodiprion fabricii
Lineage: Eukaryota; Metazoa; Arthropoda; Insecta; Hymenoptera; Diprionidae
Exons: 2
Source: RefSeq, a predicted model, not a curated record
UUUAAAAACUUUUAUAACUUUAAUAUAUUUGGCCAUACUUUACCUAGGUUACUAUAGUUUUUAGUGAUUUCUGCACAAAUUGUGCAU